GACGAACGCUGGCGGCGUGCCUAAUACAUGCAAGUAGAACGCUGAAGAGAGGAGCUUGCUCUUCUUGGAUGAGUUGCGAACGGGUGAGUAACGCGUAGGUAACCUGCCUUGUAGCGGGGGAUAACUAUUGGAAACGAUAGCUAAUACCGCAUAACAAUGGAUGACACAUGUCAUUUAUUUGAAAGGGGCAAUUGCUCCACUACAAGAUGGACCUGCGUUGUAUUAGCUAGUAGGUGAGGUAAUGGCUCACCUAGGCGACGAUACAUAGCCGACCUGAGAGGGUGAUCGGCCACACUGGGACUGAGACACGGCCCAGACUCCUACGGGAGGCAGCAGUAGGGAAUCUUCGGAAAUGGGGGCAACCCUGACCGAGCAACGCCGCGUGAGUGAAGAAGGUUUUCGGAUCGUAAAGCUCUGUUGUAAGUCAAGAACGGGUGUGAGAGUGGAAAGUUCACACUGUGACGGUAGCUGACCAGAAAGGGACGGCUAACUACGUG
This 497-nucleotide ribosomal RNA is filed under the name uncultured bacterium. Its description in RNAcentral is "partial 16S ribosomal RNA". It matches the Rfam family "Bacterial small subunit ribosomal RNA", at positions 28 to 507 of the family's 1533-position model. The record is from RNAcentral.